Molecule: ribosomal RNA, 326 nt
Filed under: uncultured eukaryote
Lineage: Eukaryota
Description: partial 18S ribosomal RNA
Rfam family: Eukaryotic small subunit ribosomal RNA
Source: RNAcentral
CCCUUAGAUGUCCUGGGCCGCACGCGCGCCACACUGAACGGAUCAGCGCGUUUUCCCUUCCCGAGAGGGACGGGUAACCUGCUGAACCCCGUUCGUGGUAGGGAUCGGGGCUUGCAAUUAUUCCCCGUGAACCAGGAAUGCCCAGUAAGUGCAAGUCAUAAGCUUGCGUUGAUUACGUCCCUGCCCUUUGUACACACCGCCCGUCGCUACUACCGAUUGAACGUUUUAGUGAGGUACUCGGACUGAGCCUCAGAAGAUUCACGUCUUUUGUGCUGCUCGGGAAGAUUCCCAAACUUGAGCGUUUAGAGGAAGUAAAAGUCGUAACA